UGCUGUUGCCAUAGUAGUAGCGGAGCUAGGCGUCAUCAGUGAUUGUGACAAUGAUGGUGAUGAUGGUGAUGGUGGUGGUUUCUGACCUCAGAGUCUUCUUCAGCACUUUGUCCUCUGCAGCAAAGCAGACCCUUGUGUGCCUCCUAGACUCCAUAACAGGAACAUCUGCUAGAGUCCAUAGCACACCAAUCUGGCUUCUGAGUCUGGCUCCUUUGAGUGGUGGAAGGCACUUUGCGGGUUGUCGCUCUGAGGGAGGGAAGUGGGAGGAGCUGUGGCCCCCCUUUACCCCUGCAGCUUGACCCUGCUUCAGUCUGGGGUGUCUACUAAGCGGAACUGGAGCUUGGGGCUGGGUGAAGUGCUUGGAGAGGAGAGCGACGCCUUCCUCUGGCUCUGAGCUGCACAGCCCUUGCUCUUAGCAGCCCACGUUUCUAAGAUAUGGGUUCCAUCCCCAGAUCUCGGCAGAGCCUCUCCGGGCCGCGUCCCACACUUGUGCCCCUUUGGUGCCGCACACCAUCUGAGAAGCACCAUUUGGCUGCUGCAGGCCAUGAGUGCCUCUCAAGGGGUUCCUGGUUCAAAACCUGCAGGCAGGAGAGGAGGAGGAGAUGGAGAGCAGGAAGCAGAGAACUCGUGACCGGGUCUUCUGGGAGACUGACUGUCCAGUGUCUGGUGGGACCUGGAUGCUGCCAGCUCCCACCCCAGGUCCCGAGGACCCCCUGCUGGGGUGGGGGGCGCCAGAAGUGACUGCUGUGUCCAUGCUGGUCUGACAACUCUAGAGUCUGGGCCCCUCAUGGUCUAUGCUGGACAGUGCCCAGGGCUUCCCUGCUCUGCCUUGUUCCCUGCCAUGGAACUCAAAUCCACACUCCCCACGGCACAGCUGCCAUCUGGACAGCAGCUCGGGUUUCUGAGGGGCUGAAGGGUGCUAUGUUGUGGUAACGUUUGGGCAAGGAAGUGUCCACCUCUCCAGCACCCCAUGGAGCACCCCACAACAUGACCACUUCUGGAGACGUCAUGGAGGACAUCUGCUGUCCCCUGGAGGAGAUGCCCCACAUCCACGAUGGUGGGGUUCAAGGACCUUCCCAGGCCUGCCUCUGUCCGCGUCCUAGAGGGUAACUGCGUGUCCCCAGCACAGCUAGAGCCAGAAGGCAAGACAUCAGUGAGCACCCGCCUGGCUGCUGUGACCGAGGAGCCUUUCUUCCUUUGCAAGCCCAGUGGUGGGUCCAUGUCUGUGCCUGGGGCUUUGCAGCCAGGCUGGGACGCUGUCAUCAGAUGACAAUGCCCGGCGGGAACAAUGCACGUAUUGUCAUGGCCAGCCCUGGCUCCGAGCGGGAAAUUGUCCAGAUUUGGAACUGAACCAACACCAGUCUUUUAAAAUGACUCAGGGGCUUCCUCCUUUUGCUAUGUUUUGGAAAAUCCGAGUAAGAUCAUCAGCACCUGGCCCUUGAGCCAUCUGCCACCCGCUCACCUGCAGACUCUGUGGACAUGGACUCUUUUUGGAGCAGGGUAAGUUCUGUGACUUCCAUUUCUGAUAUAUUUUUCGAUGUCCUUUUGCGCCAGAUUUCGGACUUCUCACUUAUCCCAAAAUGUGUCCGUUUGUUACCACAAAGCCUUCCUUAAA
Molecule: non-coding RNA, 1615 nt
Organism: Heterocephalus glaber (naked mole-rat)
Lineage: Eukaryota; Metazoa; Chordata; Mammalia; Rodentia; Bathyergidae
Source: RefSeq, a predicted model, not a curated record